UACGGGAGGCAGCAGGGGGGAAUAUUGGACAAUGGGCGAAAGCCUGAUCCAGCCAUGCCGCAUGAGUGAAGAAGGCCUUCGGGUUGUAAAGCUCUUUUAGUGAGAAAGAUAAUGACGGUACUCACAGAAGAAGUCCUGGCUAACUCCGUGCCAGCAGCCGCGGUAAUACGGAGAGGGCUAGCGUUAUUCGGAAUUAUUGGGCGUAAAGAGCGCGUAGGCUGAUUAGUAGUUAAAAGUGAAAUCCCAAAGCUUAACUUUGGAAUUGCUUUUUAAAACUGCUAGUCUAGAGAUUGAAAGAGGAUAGAGGAAUUCCUAGUGUAGAGGUGAAAUUCGUAAAUAUUAGGAGGAACACCAGUGGCGAAGGCGUCUAUCUGGUUCAAAUCUGACGCUGAGGCGCGAAGGGCGUGGGGAGCAAACAGGGAUUUAGAUACC
RNAcentral lists this ribosomal RNA (432 nucleotides) under uncultured bacterium. RNAcentral's name for it is "bacterial SSU rRNA". It matches the Rfam family "Bacterial small subunit ribosomal RNA", at positions 340 to 786 of the family's 1533-position model. The record is from RNAcentral.